GAGACACCCUUCUGGGGCAGGACUUGCUUCAGUGGGGCUUUGGUGCUCACUGCAUCUGCCCCCUGAGUCUGUCUCU
Molecule: non-coding RNA, 76 nt
Organism: Myotis davidii
Lineage: Eukaryota; Metazoa; Chordata; Mammalia; Chiroptera; Vespertilionidae
Source: Rfam